RNAcentral lists this ribosomal RNA (465 nucleotides) under uncultured bacterium. RNAcentral's name for it is "partial 16S ribosomal RNA". It matches the Rfam family "Bacterial small subunit ribosomal RNA", at positions 338 to 795 of the family's 1533-position model. The record is from RNAcentral.
CCUACGGGAGGCAGCAGUAGGGAAUCUUCCACAAUGGGCGAAAGCCUGAUGGAGUAACGCCGCGUGGGUGAAGAAGGUCUUCGGAUCGUAACACCCUGUUGUUAGAGAAGAAAGUGCGUGAGAGUAACUGUUCACGUUUCGACGUUAUCUAACCAGACAGCCACGGCUAACUACGUGACAGCAGCCGCGGUAAUACGUGGGUGGCAAGCGUUAUCCGGAUUUAUUGGGCGUAAAGGGAACGCAGGCGGUCUUUUAAGUCUAAUGUGAAAGCCUUGGGUUUAAACGGAGUAGUGCAUGGGAAACUGGGAGACUUGAGUGCAGGAGAGGGGAGUGGAACUCCAGGUGUAGCGGUGAAAUGCGUAGAUAUAUGGAAGAACACCAGUGGCGAAAGCGGCUCUCUGGUCUGUAACUGACGCUGAGGUUCGAAAGCGUGGGUAGCAAACAGGAUUAGAUACCCUUGUAGUC